This 221-nucleotide ribosomal RNA is filed under the name uncultured bacterium. RNAcentral describes it as "partial 16S ribosomal RNA". It matches the Rfam family "Bacterial small subunit ribosomal RNA", at positions 524 to 741 of the family's 1533-position model. The record is from RNAcentral.
UACGUAGGGUGCAAGCGUUAAUCGGAAUACUGGGCGUAAAGCGUGCGCAGGCGGUUUGUUAAGACAGAUGUGAAAUCCCCCGGGCUUAACCUGGGAACUGCAUUUGUGACUGGCAAGCUAGAGUAUGGCAGAGGGGGGUAGAAUUCCACGUGUAGCAGUGAAAUGCGUAGAGAUGUGGAGGAAUACCCGAUGGCGAAGGCAGCCCCCUGGGGCCCAAUACU